AACGAACGCUGGCGGCAUGCCUAACACAUGCAAGUCGAACGAGACCUUCGGGUCUGGUGGCUCACGGGUGCGUAACGCGUGGGAACCUGCCCUUAGGCUCGGAAUAACUCCCCGAAAGGGGGGCUAAUACCGGAUAAUGUCUUCGGACCAAAGAUUUAUCGCCCUUGGAUGGGCCGGCGUUGGAUUAGCUAGUUGGUAGGGUAAAAGCCUACCAAGGCGACGAUCCAUAGCUGGUCUGAGAGGAUGAUCAGCCACACUGGGACUGAGACACGGCCCAGACUCCUACGGGAGGCAGCAGUGGGGAAUAUUGGACAAUGGGCGAAAGCCUGAUCCAGCAAUGCCGCGUGAGUGAUGAAGGCCUUAGGGUUGUAAAGCUCUUUUACCCGGGAUGAUAAUGACAGUACCGGGAGAAUAAGCUCCGGCUAACUCCGUG
Molecule: ribosomal RNA, 433 nt
Filed under: uncultured bacterium
Lineage: Bacteria
Description: partial 16S ribosomal RNA
Rfam family: Bacterial small subunit ribosomal RNA
Source: RNAcentral